ACAUAUUUGAUAUGAGAUUUGGGUGGUGUUUGUUUUUUGUGAAAAGAUCUUCAGGACCUCUUAUGUCUGCCCCACGCAGACCACGCGCAGACGUUUGAGUCUGCAGUGUGUUUGUUUUCUCGAAGACCUUUCAUUAAAAAAGGUCUGCGCGACCUCUUUUUCAUGCAGACAUGGAUCAAGCUCUUCAUACCUCUUCUGCUCUUUUUUUCUCCCAGAUGCAACAAACACUGCCCUAGUUCCUUCUCCCCUCCUCCUACGUAGCCGACCACCCCUCCUCUUCCUCCACACCACCGGCCGCCCAUCCUCCUCCUCUACACCGCCGACCUCCUCCUUCCUCUCUGCCGGCCACCCUUCCUCCUCUACACCACCGGCCACCCCUCCUCCUCCUCCUCCUCCUCCUCCUUCACACCGCCGACCUCCUCCUCCCUCUCUGCCGACCACCCCUCCUCCUCCUUCCUCUGCGGUUACUCGGAGAACGUUGGAGAUCAUGUUACUCAUCCAAUCAGGAUCUUGCAAGAUCUCAGUCUUGAGUUUGAUGAUAUGAAUACGGAGUAUAAAAAAGGUUCUGUCUAGAUGUCCUCUCUUGGUUGGUCUGGUGGGUAAGCGGUCAAAAAUCAAAACGGGUUGAAUUAAGUGCAGCUGAAAAUAGGUCGGAUCGGGUUGCAACUUGAUGUUUGUUUGAAACUUGUAUGUGGUUAAAACUUGAUGUAAAUUCACAUGUCGACUAGUGUUUGUUUGAAACUUGUAUGUGGUUAAAACUUGAUGUUUGUUUGAAACUUGUAUGUGGUUAAAACUUGAUGUAAAUUCAUAUGCAAAGCAUGGAUUCAAUGAUUUAAAAAAAGUGUUAUUGUUUUUUUAUAAAUAUUAUUUCAGUAUUGUAUAACUAUUACUU
This 892-nucleotide long non-coding RNA is filed under the name Helianthus annuus (common sunflower). RNAcentral's name for it is "hypothetical non coding rna". Lineage: Eukaryota; Viridiplantae; Streptophyta; Magnoliopsida; Asterales; Asteraceae. The record is from RNAcentral.